RNAcentral lists this ribosomal RNA (302 nucleotides) under uncultured bacterium. Its description in RNAcentral is "partial 16S ribosomal RNA". It matches the Rfam family "Bacterial small subunit ribosomal RNA", at positions 508 to 807 of the family's 1533-position model. The record is from RNAcentral.
GCAGCCGCCGCGGUAAUACAGAGGGUGCGAGCGUUAAUCGGAUUUACUGGGCGUAAAGCGUGCGUAGGCGGCUUUUUAAGUCGGAUGUGAAAUCCCUGAGCUUAACUUAGGAAUUGCAUUCGAUACUGGGAAGCUAGAGUAUGGGAGAGGAUGGUAGAAUUCCAGGUGUAGCGGUGAAAUGCGUAGAGAUCUGGAGGAAUACCGAUGGCGAAGGCAGCCAUCUGGCCUAAUACUGACGCUGAGGUACGAAAGCGUGGGGAGCAAACAGGAUUAGAGACCCCCGUAGUCCCUGUCUCUUAUAC